This is a long non-coding RNA of Gallus gallus (chicken), 1650 nucleotides long. Lineage: Eukaryota; Metazoa; Chordata; Aves; Galliformes; Phasianidae. The record is from Ensembl.
AAGGUUUUCUCACAGUAGGUGGUGAUAUAGUGAAACAAGGAUUUGCUUCUAAGUUGCUGGGAGGAUGAAACCUCCAGAAAGACUGAUAGUUGAACGCAGGCAAGUGAGAGAUUAAAAAAAAUGAACUAAAAUACAGAGUUUAUUUCCACUUCACAUUCUGCUUUUGUUGAAACAUGUUUCUCAGGAAUCAGUUUAGAUGCAGCAUUUUGAAUUUAACAGCUUUCCCCGCAGAUUGUCAUGAGUUACACUGUGCUGUGAAACAGGUCCUGGAGACUUAAAACCUGAAAAGGUACAGGGAAAUUUGCUGUACAAUGUGAAGCACUUGACUUUUCAAACUAUAUGUUAGAAGAAAUAUCUUUUUGCUUGGUUCUCCUAAAUCUAAUGCACAGUCUAUGUAAUAGGAAGCUACACUUUUGAUUACAUGAGUUUAAUUUGUGUUAAUGAAUAUGGAAAGAAAGCCCCCCUUGUAUUUACCUUCAGGUGAAUAUGCUAUGGAUCCUUGUGGAGAAUGUUCCACCUGCAUUUGUUGCAUGAAAAGAAGCACGGUAUCAAGCUCCUACAAGUACAGUCACGUACAGUGAGUCUCUGAGUGUCUCUGAAGUACUGAGAGGUGGUAUGUUUUUAAAUUCUAUUUUAUUCAUUUAAUUAUUGUUAUUUUUAUGUGGACUUGCUUCAGAAAACUAUUAUUAAUUGUACUAAGUCAUUUAUGGCUUCAGCUUUUUAAAGUAAGCCUACUGAGACAAAAAUUUUCCCAUGGCUUUUAUUAAUUGGCAAAGCAAAGCAGUCUUAUGUGUUUAUAAUCAGUCAACUAAUUCGUCAUCCUAUAUGAUGGUUUAUUAAAAGCAAUCUGAAUUCUAUCACUAAAUAAUAUUCUGAGAUCAAUUGAAAUGUCACAAUAACAAGAUGAGUUAGCUGGGAAAUCCUAGCACAAAUUUUAUCAUUAUGAGAACAGUCAUUUCUGUUAAACUAACAAUUUUAUGCUUUUUACAAAUUUUUACACUUGGAUUUUGUUUCAACCAACAAACAAACCAAAAAGAGGUAUUUAUUACUAGGGUUGUUCAAAACACUCUAUUUUUUUGCAAAAAGGGAAUCUCUUCUUACGUCUUGUUUUGUCCUGGGAGAAAUCUCUGCACUCUGCUGUCAUAGCUGGAUCUCUUCGUCUUGGCAAUUUUCUCUCUCUCCUACGUUGCACUAUGGCAGGUGUGAACUGAUGUGCAACCUGGCUUAUGAAAAAACCCUGACAGUCUUUUGAACACUGAUAAUGUCAUACGAUGCCCUGCAUUGUAUGUGUGUGCAAGGUUUAUGUUAACUGGUUACCAGAGGCUUUUUCUUUUUGUCUUUGCUGAAUUCUUCUUGUUUUCAGUAAGACAAUUAACCAUGGUGCAGGAUUAUUUGUGGUCUACUAGUCUUUCAAUAGAAAUUUUAUUUUUCCAAAGUUUGAAAAGUUGUUGCUAAAAUAAAACUGAUAUACCCUGACAGAUUAUAGAAACAUGAAAAGCUUCACCAUGGUGAUCAGAUGGUCCACGUAAGCCAUUUGUAUCGUGUUUUCAGACCGAAAUCCAUUAUGAGCUCAACUUGCAGGUAUUCCCAGUCUGCAGGUCUUCCAGAAACGGAGCAAGGCAUCCCAGUGCUACUCAGUUUGAUGAGUGA